AGUAAGCAUAGAUUAAGCUCCUUAGAAAGUGAGAAUCUGAGCCUCAGGACCAGACAGAAGAGAAGCAUGGAAAUUGUAAACGGCAUAUUUUCUUCCACUGUGGUUUAUUUUCACCUCUGCAGCUCCUUCACCCAGAUAGCUUAAAGCUUUGGAGUCUAAAUGGAACAGAAAGCAGAAGACUUUACAAAUGAGACCUCGAAUUAGCCUACAGCUGAGCCAGGCUGCGGGUCUUGGCUUUCAGCGGAUGUCCACGUUCCAGACCUAUGGAGAAAGCAGAGUGGACACAGCCUUGGCAGUGGCUCUCAGGCCAGAGCAAGACAGCUCAGGAAGUGACCUCGGAGGUCUGUCACCAGGCACACCCUUAGAGCUCUUCUUCUCGGAGACAAAGUCCUACCCCUGCAGAGGAUGAGCAUUCACGACCCUGUCAUGGGAUGAAGACCAGGCCCCUCCCAGACAUGGAACCUUCUGACGCAUUGAUCUGACUUCCCAACCUCUACAGCUGCGAGUGAUGGAGAGAGGGAAAUAGUUGAAGAGAAGACACCCAAGGAAGAGGCCUAUCUUAAGGUAGAGAAAAGUUUUUUCCUCCCUGCACCCCUUGAAAUGUAUCCACACUUUCCUGGACUCACGGGCAUGUCACCAGAGCACCACAGGGAGCAGCAACACAGCCCUGCAGCACUAUCAAUUGCUUCACACCCGAUUCUUUGGUGCCCUCGAAGUGACUGACUCAGCUGGAAGGAAAGCCUGUGCCCACGUUCCCAGUUCCCAAGCAUCGCUUCUUCGCAGACUUCCGGUGAGGCCCCAUCCGACCUGAACAGGGAGAGGGCUGCCCGACUCUCUAGUCUCUUGGCAAGAUCAGGCAGGAGAGGCUCUGCUAGUUAAGUCCACCUAGGACUCGACUUCUUCCCCGUCUGCUCUGCUUGGUGACGAUGGCAUCGUCCUGGGUGGCCCCACUCUGGGGCAGUGGCAUCUGCAGCAGUCCCUCCUGAGCUUCAUUCUUCUCCAUCAGAGUGGCACAUAAUUAUUCCUGCCACGCACCAGGAAAGCCUGCGUUCACCCACUGCAAUGCUGCAGGCCACAGCCCAGCUCCCUUGCACCUGGCAAGUGUGCAGCUGUGUGCUCUUCCUGGGGAUAGUGCUGAUCAGCUCAAGCUCAGCUCCAACCACGUUCCAAGCCACAUAACUACAUAUCUGCACUAACCUGGGAAGACCGAGGCUCAGUCUCGGUCUGCUCUGAUAGGCACUCAGGGACCUUGUCCACAGAGAUCCCUCACAACUGCAUAAAAAGAGAAGCACUCAGUCCAAACAUCUUGGUGGCAUCGGCACCGUGACCCCAAGCAUGCCAGACUCAGUGUCAAGGGUGAACAGGGAGAGCUGGGACUUAGUCUCAAAGAAGCAGAAUGGGUGAGGCUGAGUUGACAGUGGAAACGUUCCACACCUAGAGACACCUACAGAAAACACUGAGUCACACAGACUCCUACAAAGACCUAGGACUCGGGAUUCACGUAUCGAAGUAAGCGGAGGAGACAUUGUGGCAAGAACAGAAAGCUUGGAGCGUAUAGGACAGGGAGACCCCAAGACCCUGGUUACUGCUCGUGGGCCAUCAACUACUGUUCCCUGAGUCCAGAAGAAACAGAAGGUGGCCCUCUAGAGAAACUGAAACAGGAACUCUCUAAGCUCUGGGACACCAGGUGGCACAACGUUAUGAAGAGAGGAAAUCUGCCACUGAAAAGUGGAACCCUCAGGUCCCUUCUGCCACUGGGCUCCCAGGGUGCUGGGGGCCAGGCUUGUGACCCCAGGCCAGGGACUCUUACCUGGAGAAGGACCUAGAGAUACCACAUCUCCAGGGUUUCAACCCCCAAGGGACUCUCUCUUCAGCGAGGUCCACCAUCCAUGCCACAAGAGUUUUAAACACAUUUUCUCAUUUCCCGUGGUCCUGAUGCUCAUCUCUGGAGCCCUGCUGACGCUUCUCUUGGCCCCUCUGAGUCUCGUCUGGUGUUUGCCACGUGACAGCCCUGCCUCCUGUUCUGGGGACCUCUUCCCUCAUGGCAGUCAUGCCCAUGUCUACGAGAAUUACCACUGAUUAAAGAAAACCCUGCGAACAUUUAAACGUGGGGCUUCCAAAGGAACUUUAGAACUUUCUUUAUAUGGAAAACUUAAACAUACAUGUACAGCUAAAUUCUCACCUCAUUAGGGGUUAUGAAGCUAGAAUUGGUGUAUAACGUGAAAAAUUGUUUUUAAAUUUACACUUAAUUUAGCUAUAUUUGUAAUAUUUUGUUUAAGAAACAAAUAUGACAAAAAUUUGCUGUUUUA
Tupaia belangeri chinensis (Chinese tree shrew) is the source of this 2309-nucleotide long non-coding RNA. RefSeq lists it as uncharacterized. The record is from RefSeq and is a predicted model, not a curated record. The transcript has 5 exons. Lineage: Eukaryota; Metazoa; Chordata; Mammalia; Scandentia; Tupaiidae.